GAAAUCAACCGAGAUUCCCCCAGUAGCGGCGAGCGAACGGGGAGCAGCCCAGAGCCUGAAUCAGUGUGUGUGUUAGUGGAAGCGUCUGGAAAGGCGCGCGAUACAGGGUGACAGCCCCGUACACAAAAAUGCACAUGCUGUGAGCUCGAUGAGUAGGGCGGGACACGUGGUAUCCUGUCUGAAUAUGGGGGGACCAUCCUCCAAGGCUAAAUACUCCUGACUGACCGAUAGUGAACCAGUACCGUGAGGGAAAGGCGAAAAGAACCCCGGCGAGGGGAGUGAAAAAGAACCUGAAACCGUGUACGUACAAGCAGUGGGAGCACAGAGCAAUCUGUGUGACUGCGUACCUUUUGUAUAAUGGGUCAGCGACUUAUAUUCUGUAGCAAGGUUAACCGAAUAGGGGAGCCGAAGGGAAACCGAGUCUUAACUGGGCGUUAAGUUGCAGGGUAUAGACCCGAAACCCGGUGAUCUAGCCAUGGGCAGGUUGAAGGUUGGGUAACACUAACUGGAGGACCGAACCGACUAAUGUUGAAAAAUUAGCGGAUGACUUGUGGCUGGGGGUGAAAGGCCAAUCAAACCGGGAGAUAGCUGGUUCUCCCCGAAAGCUAUUUAGGUAGCGCCUCGUGAAUUCAUCUCCGGGGGUAGAGCACUGUUUCGGCAAGGGGGUCAUCCCGACUUACCAACCCGAUGCAAACUGCGAAUACCGGAGAAUGUUAUCACGGGAGACACACGGCGGGUGCUAACGUCCGUCGUGAAGAGGGAAACAACCCAGACCGCCAGCUAAGGUCCCAAAGUCAUGGUUAAGUGGGAAACGAUGUGGGAAGGCCCAGACAGCCAGGAUGUUGGCUUAGAAGCAGCCAUCAUUUAAAGAAAGCGUAAUAGCUCACUGGUCGAGUCGGCCUGCGCGGAAGAUGUAACGGGGCUAAACCAUGCACCGAAGCUGCGGCAGCGACGCUUAUGCGUUGUUGGGUAGGGGAGCGUUCUGUAAGCCUGUGAAGGUGUACUGUGAGGUAUGCUGGAGGUAUCAGAAGUGCGAAUGCUGACAUAAGUAACGAUAAAGCGGGUGAAAAGCCCGCUCGCCGGAAGACCAAGGGUUCCUGUCCAACGUUAAUCGGGGCAGGGUGAGUCGACCCCUAAGGCGAGGCCGAAAGGCGUAGUCGAUGGGAAACAGGUUAAUAUUCCUGUACUUGGUGUUACUGCGAAGGGGGGACGGAGAAGGCUAUGUUGGCCGGGCGACGGUUGUCCCGGUUUAAGCGUGUAGGCUGGUUUUCCAGGCAAAUCCGGAAAAUCAAGGCUGAGGCGUGAUGACGAGGCACUACGGUGCUGAAGCAACAAAUGCCCUGCUUCCAGGAAAAGCCUCUAAGCAUCAGGUAACAUCAAAUCGUACCCCAAACCGACACAGGUGGUCAGGUAGAGAAUACCAAGGCGCUUGAGAGAACUCGGGUGAAGGAACUAGGCAAAAUGGUGCCGUAACUUCGGGAGAAGGCACGCUGAUAUGUAGGUGAAGUCCCUCGCGGAUGGAGCUGAAAUCAGUCGAAGAUACCAGCUGGCUGCAACUGUUUAUUAAAAACACAGCACUGUGCAAACACGAAAGUGGACGUAUACGGUGUGACGCCUGCCCGGUGCCGGAAGGUUAAUUGAUGGGGUCAGCGCAAGCGAAGCUCUUGAUCGAAGCCCCGGUAAACGGCGGCCGUAACUAUAACGGUCCUAAGGUAGCGAAAUUCCUUGUCGGGUAAGUUCCGACCUGCACGAAUGGCGUAAUGAUGGCCAGGCUGUCUCCACCCGAGACUCAGUGAAAUUGAACUCGCUGUGAAGAUGCAGUGUACCCGCGGCAAGACGGAAAGACCCCGUGAACCUUUACUAUAGCUUGACACUGAACAUUGAGCCUUGAUG
RNAcentral lists this ribosomal RNA (1893 nucleotides) under Escherichia coli. RNAcentral's name for it is "partial 23S ribosomal RNA". It matches the Rfam family "Bacterial large subunit ribosomal RNA", at positions 221 to 2136 of the family's 2925-position model. Lineage: Bacteria; Pseudomonadati; Pseudomonadota; Gammaproteobacteria; Enterobacterales; Enterobacteriaceae. The record is from RNAcentral.